GACGAACGCUGGCGGCGUGCUUAACACACGCGAGUCGAACGGUGACGGAGAGCUUGCUCUCCUGAUCAGUGGCGAACGGGUGAGUAACACGUGGGCAACCUGCCCAGACUUCGGGAUAACGCUUCGAAAGAGGUGCUAAUACCGAAUACGAACCUCCCUGGCAUCUGGGAGGUUGGAAAGUUUUCGGUCUGGGAUGGGCCCGCGGCCUAUCAGCUUGUUGGUGAGGUAACGGCUCACCAAGGCGACGACGGGUAGCCGGCCUGAGAGGGCGACCGGCCACACUGGGACUGAGACACGGCCCAGACUCCUACGGGAGGCAGCAGUGGGGAAUAUUGCGCAAUGGGCGAAAGCCUGACGCAGCAACGCCGCGUGAGGGAUGACGGCCUCGGUUGGUAACCUACUUCUAGUCAGGAAGAAGACGAAGUAGACGGUACCUGCAGAAGAAGACACCGGACUAACUACGUAGCC
RNAcentral lists this ribosomal RNA (468 nucleotides) under uncultured bacterium. Its description in RNAcentral is "bacterial SSU rRNA". It matches the Rfam family "Bacterial small subunit ribosomal RNA", at positions 28 to 510 of the family's 1533-position model. The record is from RNAcentral.